UACGGGGGGGGCAAGCGUUGUUCGGAAUUACUGGGCGUAAAGGGCGCGUAGGUGGUUUGUUGCGUCGGCUGUGAAAUCCCGAGGCUCAACCUCGGGUCUGCAGUCGAUACGAGCAAACUAGAGUGUUGCAGGGGAGACUGGAAUUCCUGGUGUAGCGGUGAAAUGCGCAGAUAUCAGGAGGAACACCGGUGGCGAAGGCGGGUCUCUGGGCAACAACUGACGCUGAGGAGCGAAAGCGUGGGGAGCGAACAGG
RNAcentral lists this ribosomal RNA (253 nucleotides) under uncultured bacterium. RNAcentral's name for it is "partial 16S ribosomal RNA". It matches the Rfam family "Bacterial small subunit ribosomal RNA", at positions 524 to 776 of the family's 1533-position model. The record is from RNAcentral.